GACGAACGCUGGCGGCGUGCUUAACACGUGCAAGUCGAACGGAAAGGCCCUGCUUUUGUGGGGUGCUCGAGUGGCGAACGGGUGAGUAACACGUGAGUAACCUGCCCUUGACUUUGGGAUAACUUCAGGAAACUGGGGCUAAUACCGGAUAGGAGCUCCUGCUGCAUGGUGGGGGUUGGAAAGUUUCGGCGGUUGGGGAUGGACUCGCGGCUUAUCAGCUUGUUGGUGGGGUAGUGGCUUACCAAGGCUUUGACGGGUAGCCGGCCUGAGAGGGUGACCGGCCACAUUGGGACUGAGAUACGGCCCAGACUCCUACGGGAGGCAGCAGUGGGGAAUAUUGCACAAUGGGCGGAAGCCUGAUGCAGCAACGCCGCGUGCGGGAUGACGGCCUUCGGGUUGUAAACCGCUUUCGCCUGUGACGAAGCGUGAGUGACGGUAAUGGGUAAAGAAGCACCGGCUAACUACGUGCCAGCAGCCGCGGUGAUACGUAGGGUGCGAGCGUUGUCCGGAUUUAUUGGGCGUAAAGGGCUCGUAGGUGGUUGAUCGCGUCGGAAGUGUAAUCUUGGGGCUUAACCCUGAGCGUGCUUUCGAUACGGGUUGACUUGAGGAAGGUAGGGGAGAAUGGAAUUCCUGGUGGAGCGGUGGAAUGCGCAGAUAUCAGGAGGAACACCAGUGGCGAAGGCGGUUCUCUGGGCCUUUCCUGACGCUGAGGAGCGAAAGCGUGGGGAGCGAACAGGCUUAGAUACCCUGGUAGUCCACGCUGUAAACGGUGGGUACUAGGUGUGGGGUCCAUUCCACGGGUUCCGUGCCGUAGCUAACGCUUUAAGUACCCCGCCUGGGGAGUACGGCCGCAAGGCUAAAACUCAAAGGAAUUGACGGGGCCCCGCACAAGCGGCGGAGCAUGCGGAUUAAUUCGAUGCAACGCGUAGAACCUUACCUGGGUUUGACAUGGAUCGGGAGUGCUCAGAGAUGGGUGUGCCUCUUUUGGGGUCGGUUCACAGGUGGUGCAUGGCUGUCGUCAGCUCGUGUCGUGAGAUGUUGGGUUAAGUCCCGCAACGAGCGCAACCCUUGUUCACUGUUGCCAGCACGUUAUGGUGGGGACUCAGUGGAGACCGCCGGGGUCAACUCGGAGGAAGGUGGGGAUGACGUCAAGUCAUCAUGCCCCUUAUGUCCAGGGCCUCACGCAUGCUACAAUGGCUGGUACAGAGAGUGGCGAGCCUGUGAGGGUGAGCGAAUCUCGGAAAGCCGGUCUCAGUUCGGAUUGGGGUCUGCAACUCGACCUCAUGAAGUCGGAGUCGCUAGUAAUCGCAGAUCAGCAACGCUGCGGUGAAUACGUUCCCGGG
Molecule: ribosomal RNA, 1343 nt
Filed under: uncultured bacterium
Lineage: Bacteria
Description: 16S ribosomal RNA
Rfam family: Bacterial small subunit ribosomal RNA
Source: RNAcentral